UCACGUAGGGCGCGAGCGUUUGUCCGGAAUUAUUGGGCGUAAAGAGCUCGUAGGCGGCCUGUUGCGUCCGCUGUGAAAGCCCGGGGCUUAACCCCGGGUCUGCAGUGGAUACGGGCAGGCUAGAGGUAGGUAGGGGAGAAUGGAAUUCCUGGUGUAGCGGUGAAAUGCGCAGAUAUCAGGAGGAACACCGGUGGCGAAGGCGGUUCUCUGGGCAUGUCCUGACGCUGAGACACGAAGGCCAGGGGAGCAAACGGG
This 255-nucleotide ribosomal RNA is filed under the name uncultured bacterium. RNAcentral describes it as "partial 16S ribosomal RNA". It matches the Rfam family "Bacterial small subunit ribosomal RNA", at positions 523 to 776 of the family's 1533-position model. The record is from RNAcentral.